This is a non-coding RNA of Peromyscus maniculatus bairdii (prairie deer mouse), 1047 nucleotides long. NCBI's taxonomy places the organism in Eukaryota, Metazoa, Chordata, Mammalia, Rodentia, Cricetidae. The record is from RefSeq and is a predicted model, not a curated record.
UUGGUAUCACCUAUCUACAUUACAUGUGUGCAUAUUUCUAAAAUUUCCCCUAUUCUGUUCUCCUGUUGCUCAUGCACAUGGGCUCUAUUUCCAGGAUCUUUUGAGUAAAUUACACUCACCACCCAUGACCGACAUCUGAAAUAUGAAGUAGUAUAUCCUUUUCCUGGAGUAGACUACAGUCUUCCUGAGUUGGUCAUCUAAAAAGAGUCGAAGGGCACUGAGUGAAAUGUGCGAGACACAGAAAUAGAACAUUGUGUGACGGAACAGAUGCUACAGCCAUGUGAGUUUAUAUGAGGAUGCUCGUGACAGAUGCCGCCUUCUAGCAUUAGCCAAUUGUUAAAAGGAUUUCUCUAUACAACAGUUCUGACUGUACUGGAAGUUGCUUGUUAGACCUGGCUGGCCUUGAACUCAGAGAUUUGCCUGCCUCUGCAUCCUCUGUACUGGAAUAGAAGGUGUGAGCCACCACCAGACAGGACAAUUUUACUUUAAAGCAGCAUUAAUCAAUAUUUUUAGAUUUUCACAUGGAAGAAAUACUUCAUCUUCUACCACAGGAAAGAGAAACUAAAGGCAAGAUAGCUUCCAAAACAUGAGCUGAACAAGGACAACACCACGGGACAUGCCAAAGUGAGCAAGAAAAAGCACGCGAUGCCUCAAUCCUACACAAAAACCUACAGUCAACUGAGGAAAGCUGGGAUGGGAGAGAUUGUUUUCCCCAGGUUAGAGCAUACCAAAGUGCCUGUCCAGUGCCAAACGGUCAUCCCCGAAAAUAUACAUACGAGUAACAUACAGAUUCAGCAGAAUAUAUUUAUGUGUGUGCAUAUAUGUAUAUAUGUACAUACCACGACAAUUUGUGAAAAUUGAAAAGGCCGUGGAAUGUAGGAAAAGGUUCAUAGAAGGACUUGAAGGGAGGAAGGGGGAGGGAGAAAUACAAUAAUGUGGGGAUAUUUUGUUUAUACUCUAACAAAUAAAAUUCGUCUGAAGAUCAGAGGAUAGAGUCAACCACUAGAUUAAACACAGAGGCCAGGCAGUGGUGGCACACGCCUUUAA